RNAcentral lists this ribosomal RNA (499 nucleotides) under uncultured bacterium. Its description in RNAcentral is "partial 16S ribosomal RNA". It matches the Rfam family "Bacterial small subunit ribosomal RNA", at positions 28 to 507 of the family's 1533-position model. The record is from RNAcentral.
GACGAACGCUGGCGGCGUGCCUAAUACAUGCAAGUCGAGCGAAGUUUUUCUGGUGCUUGCACUAGAAAAACUUAGCGGCGAACGGGUGAGUGACACGUAAAGAACCUGCCUCAUAGACUGGGACAACUAUUGGAAACGAUAGCUAAUACCGGAUAACAGUAUUUCUCGCAUGAGAGAUAUUUAAAAGUUGGUUAUGCUAACACUAUGAGAUGGCUUUGCGGUGCAUUAGCUAGUUGGUGGGGUAAAGGCCCACCAAGGCGACGAUGCAUAGCCGACCUGAGAGGGUGAUCGGCCACACUGGGACUGAGACACGGCCCAGACUCCUACGGGAGGCAGCAGUAGGGAAUCUUCCGCAAUGGGCGAAAGCCUGACGGAGCAACGCCGCGUGAGUGAAGAAGGAUUUCGGUUCGUAAAGCUCUGUUGUUAGGGAAGAAUGGAUAUGUAGUAACUAUACAUGUAAGAGACGGUACCUAACCAGAAAGCCACGGCUAACUACGUG